UACGGAGGGGGCUAGCGUUGUUCGGAAUUACUGGGCGUAAAGCGCGCGUAGGCGGCAUAGCAAGUUGGGGGUGAAAGCCCGGGGCUCAACCCCGGAAUAGCCUUUGAAACUGGAAAACUUGAAUCUUGGAGAGGUCAGUGGAAUUCCGAGUGUAGAGGUGAAAUUCGUAGAUAUUCGGAAGAACACCAGUGGCGAAGGCGACUGACUGGACAAGUAUUGACGCUGAGGUGCGAAAGUGUGGGGAGCAAACAGG
Molecule: ribosomal RNA, 253 nt
Filed under: uncultured bacterium
Lineage: Bacteria
Description: partial 16S ribosomal RNA
Rfam family: Bacterial small subunit ribosomal RNA
Source: RNAcentral